CCCUUAGAUGUUCGGGGCCGCACGCGCGCUACACUGAAGGACUCAGCGUGUCUCUCCCCCUAUCCCGAAAGGGAUGGGCAACCCGUUGAACCUCCUUCGUGCUAGGGAUUGGGGUUUGCAAUUAUCCCCCAUGAACGAGGAAUUCCCAGUAAGCGCGAGUCAUCAGCUCGCGUUGAUUACGUCCCUGCCCUUUGUACACACCGCCCGUCGCUACUACCGAUUGAAUGAUCCGAUGAAUAUCAUGGAUUGAGGAUGCAAGUAGGUUCACCUAUCUUCAUCUUCGAGAAGUGAAGUAAAUCUUAUCAUUUAGAGGAAGGAGAAGUCGUAACA
This 330-nucleotide ribosomal RNA is filed under the name uncultured eukaryote. RNAcentral's name for it is "partial 18S ribosomal RNA". It matches the Rfam family "Eukaryotic small subunit ribosomal RNA", at positions 1470 to 1796 of the family's 1831-position model. The record is from RNAcentral.